GGGCCGUGCGGCGUGCCUAUACAUGCAGUCGAGCGAAUGGAUUAAGAGCUUGCUCUUAUGAAGUUAGCGGCGGACGGGUGAGUAACACGUGGGUAACCUGCCCAUAAGACUGGGAUAACUCCGGGAAACCGGGGCUAAUACCGGAUAACAUUUUGAACCGCAUGGUUCGAAAUUGAAAGGCGGCUUCGGCUGUCACUUAUGGAUGGACCCGCGUCGCAUUAGCUAGUUGGUGAGGUAACGGCUCACCAAGGCAACGAUGCGUAGCCGACCUGAGAGGGUGAUCGGCCACACUGGGACUGAGACACGGCCCAGACUCCUACGGGAGGCAGCAGUAGGGAAUCUUCCGCAAUGGACGAAAGUCUGACGGAGCAACGCCGCGUGAGUGAUGAAGGCUUUCGGG
RNAcentral lists this ribosomal RNA (400 nucleotides) under Bacillus anthracis (anthrax bacterium). RNAcentral describes it as "bacterial SSU rRNA". It matches the Rfam family "Bacterial small subunit ribosomal RNA", at positions 39 to 422 of the family's 1533-position model. Lineage: Bacteria; Bacillati; Bacillota; Bacilli; Caryophanales; Bacillaceae. The record is from RNAcentral.